GACGAACGCUGGCGGCGUGCUUAGCACAUGCAAGUCGAACGGAAAGGCCCUGCUUUUGUGGGGUGCUCGAGUGGCGAAUGGGUGAGUAACACGUGAGUAACCUGCCCUUGACUUUGGGAUAACUUCAGGAAACUGGGGCUAAUACCGGAUAGGAGCUCCUGCUGCAUGGUGGGGGUUGGAAAGUUUCGGCGGUUGGGGAUGGACUCGCGGCUUAUCAGCUUGUUGGUGGGGUAGUGGCUUACCAAGGCUUUGACGGGUAGCCGGCCUGAGAGGGUGACCGGCCACAUUGGGACUGAGAUACGGCCCAGACUCCUACGGGAGGCAGCAGUGGGGAAUAUUGCACAAUGGGCGGAAGCCUGAUGCAGCAACGCCGCGUGCGGGAUGACGGCCUUCGGGUUGUAAACCGCUUUCGCCUGUGACGAAGCGUGAGUGACGGUAAUGGGUAAAGAAGCACCGGCUAACUACGUGCCAGCAGCCGCGGUGAUACGUAGGGUGCGAGCGUUGUCCGGAUUUGUUGGGCGUAAAGGGCUCGUAGGUGGUUGAUCGCGUCGGAAGUGUAAUCUUGGGGCUUAACCCUGAGCGUGCUUUCGAUACGGGUUGACUUGAGGAAGGUAGGGGAGAAUGGAAUUCCUGGUGGAGCGGUGGAAUGCGCAGAUAUCAGGAGGAACACCAGUGGCGAAGGCGGUUCUCUGGGCCUUUCCUGACGCUGAGGAGCGAAAGCGUGGGGAGCGAACAGGCUUAGAUACCCUGGUAGUCCACGCUGUAAACGGUGGGUACUAGGUGUGGGGUCCAUUCCACGGGUUCCGUGCCGUAGCUAACGCUUUAAGUACCCCGCCUGGGGAGUACGGCCGCAAGGCUAAAACUCAAAGGAAUUGACGGGGCCCCGCACAAGCGGCGGAGCAUGCGGAUUAAUUCGAUGCAACGCGUAGAACCUUACCUGGGUUUGACAUGGAUCGGGAGUGCUCAGAGAUGGGUGUGCCUCUUUUGGGGUCGGUUCACAGGUGGUGCAUGGCUGUCGUCAGCUCGUGUCGUGAGAUGUUGGGUUAAGUCCCGCAACGAGCGCAACCCUUGUUCACUGUUGCCAGCACGUUAUGGUGGGGACUCAGUGGAGACCGCCGGGGUCAACUCGGAGGAAGGUGGGGAUGACGUCAAGUCAUCAUGCCCCUUAUGUCCAGGGCUUCACGCAUGCUACAAUGGCUGGUACAGAGAGUGGCGAGCCUGUGAGGGUGAGCGAAUCUCGGAAAGCCGGUCUCAGUUCGGAUUGGGGUCUGCAACUCGACCUCAUGAAGUCGGAGUCGCUAGUAAUCGCAGAUCAGCAACGCUGCGGUGAAUACGUUCCCGGG
RNAcentral lists this ribosomal RNA (1343 nucleotides) under uncultured bacterium. RNAcentral's name for it is "16S ribosomal RNA". It matches the Rfam family "Bacterial small subunit ribosomal RNA", at positions 28 to 1378 of the family's 1533-position model. The record is from RNAcentral.